AUGAUGCCACUGGGCAAAAGACGCAACAGAAGCAAGGGUAGCUGGAAGCACAUGCGCUGGAGAUGUAGCCAAGGAAGGAAGCCGCAAAGAGUCCAAGAUGUAGAGGCGAGGAGCGGCUCUACGGCGACGGCCAAUCCCAAUCACUUCCCCUGUGCGAAGGUCCUGUACAAAACAAGAUGAGUCAUCAAACCCGACAAAGCAAUUAUGAUCCGUAAUUUGACCUACUGAAAGAAGGUCCAUAGAUAGCUCAGGAACAAAGAAAAUAUUAGGUACUGUAAAGUGUGGAUCAGAAAGAGAGCCCUUAUGAGUAAUGUGGCAUACAGUACCAUCAGCUGUCUGCACUGAAGCACCAUCUGUGACAGGUGUAGUAGAAGCCAACUUUGACUGAUCAGAUGUGACAUGAAAGGAGGCUCCUGAAUCAAGUACCCAGGCCGACUCUGAAGUACAAGCGGACGAAGUGGCAACAACAGCAACUGAGCCUCUAGUAGAUGGUCCUGGACCACGACCACGAGCAGCACGUCGUGCACGGAAAUCAGUCAACUUCUCAGGAAACUUGACAAAACAAAGCUCGGAUCGAUGAUUGGUCUUGCCACAAUGAUCACAAGGCUUAAAAAUAUUCUUAGGUUUCUGGGCAGCAGCCAACACACUAUGAGGAUUACCACCAGUAGAGGACAGAGAAUUAAGACGAGUCUUUUCAGCAAGUAAAUCAGACAACGCCUUAGCCAUAGUGAGAGUGUCAGAGCCCUGAAGUAAACGAGCACGAAGAGAAUCAAACUCGACCCGAACACCCAUAACAAAUCUGUAAGUGAAGAACUUCUCAAUAAACUUAUGAGCCGGACAUGGAUCAGUAGUACAAGCAGGCACCAUUGAUGUCAAAGCACUCAUCAGGCGAUCAAAGGCUGAGUAGUACUCAUCAAUACUCAUAUCAUUUUGCUCAAUAACAUGUGUCUGCUGCAUGAGGGUGUGUAAUAGAGCACCACUGUCCUGAACAAAACGCUCCUUCAAAUGAGACCAGGUGGCUUUAGCAGUUUCAAAUUUAGAUAAACUCAUAAUCAUAGACGGUUUGACGCUGUUCACCACAGCUGCCAUCACUUUACCAUCAUUAAGUUGCCAUGUUUUGAUAUCAGCAGCAUUGCGACGAUCAUCAGCAAGAACGGGUGCCGCAUCAGUCAAAUGGAAGAGUAAUCCAUGUCCCCGGAGUGCAGUCUCAACACAGAAAGCCCACUCCGGAUAAUUUUGACCAUCAAGAGUGAUAUUGACCACAAUAGCAUUUGUCGCCAUAUUGAAUUGAAUCAAAAUCAAGGAUAAGAAGAGACCUGAGACCAAACAAACCAGAGCACAGCGGCUGGCGGGAGCAGCGACGUCGCAGAUCCGCGACCGGUGUAGAUUUCCGGUGGGAGCAGCGGAUCUGCAACCCUGCGUGCAACGACGGCAGGCGGGGAUCCGCGGAACUUGUCCCAGGCGGUAGAACGGCGCAGGCAGAGAUAGAAAUCCGCCCCUGGCGCACUGCCUCUGGCAGCGGAAGGAGCCCUGCCCCUGGCGCACUGCCCUUGGCAGUGGAAGGCGCCCUGCCCCUGGAGUACAGCGGUGGCGGACGACGCUCUGCUCCAGGCGGCGGACACCCCUGGCGGCGGAUCCAGGCGGUGGACACCCUUGGCGGCGGAUCGCGGCGACUGAGAGAUCCGCCCCUGGCGGCGGACGACGCUCUGCCCCAGGCGGCGGACGGCGCUGAGAUGAGAGAGAUCCGCCCUGGCGGCAGAUCCAUGGGAAAGCGAACAAGGAAGGCCGCGCGCCCCUGGCGGCGGGCAGCACACGACGGCGGACAGGAAGCUGGCCGGAUCUCCUGGCGGCGGAUCGAGGAAGAGGACCGCGAUGGCGGACAGGAGGCUGGCCACGAUUGGCAGCACAGCGACGGCGCCAAAAAAUGGAUCAGGGCCGGAUUUAGACUAUACCCUAACCCUAACCUGCUCUGUUACCAUGUAACUAACCUUGAUUAGGCGAGAUGACUACCCUCGUGGGUACUGUAGCAUAUAUAUAGGCAGACAAUAAUAUAUGGGCCUUAUGGGCCUUAACAGAGGCGUCUACCUCGCCUUGCUCAGGGGCGUAAGGCGUCCGCUGUGGCGUGAGGCGGCUACCUCGCCUUGCUCAGGGGCGUAAGGCGUCCGCUGUGGCGUGCGAGCAGCGUGGAGCGUCGUUAGGGCGUCGCCUUGGGGGAAAUAAGGUUUUGAGGGGUUAAGUGCAGUGGAGGCGACAACGUAUAGUCUACCUCCCGGCGGCGCGCAGUCGCGGCGACAGCCGUACGCAGCGCGCGGGUGGAGCAGCUCCGCUGGGGCGCGAUAACUAGUAGGGCAUGGCCUCGGCGGCGCUUGCUCCCUCUCAGGCGGUGGCGGCCCGCCCUCUUAGGCACGACGACGUGCAGGGAGAAGUAGAGAUGCGGGGAGGGAGAAGGGAGGAGAAGCUGCUAGUGGCUGAGAGAGAAUUGCUGGCGUCUGAGAGAGAGGGAGAAGAGGGAGAGAGAGAUUGUGCUGGGUGAGGACGUGAGGUAACCCUAAAUUUGUUGGGCUGGGCUGUGGGUUUCUUUAUUUUUUCCUUUAUCUUUUUUCUGUUUCUCUGUUCUAUUAGGCUGAAAUGGUCCUAGGCCUUACAGUUGUGCUAGCUUGUUUAUUACCUCGAAUUAGUGAUAUAUAAAUAAUAUUUGGUCUAAUUUUUUAUAUUUAUAUAUAUAAUUAAGGCAUAGCCUCGCCUUACACCUUUUCGCUUAAAAGGUGAAAAGGGGGACACUCUCCUUAACUUGCCUUACCGCCUUAAGGCCAACUCCAACAAUGCCAUGCAUGCAGGCGUGUAUAACAUUGUUUUGCACUGUAGAUGCACUGUUUGCAGAGAGGAGUUUGAAAUAGAGAGUGUGAUAAGGAGUGGGAUAAGGAGUUUGCUGGAGAUAGUCUAAUAACUAUGUCUACAUGCCCCCGCCAAGGCCUUCAAAUGGGACAUAAAAUUAGAUAUACCAAUCAGAUUCAACACAACACCUUAUAGCCAUCGGUUCACUUAUCCAAGAUCUAUUUUAACUUAUUAAUGAAUUUGAUUUUAAUGAGUUGAUUAUUCCUUAGGUUACAUAGCUCUAGCCUGACAGUUCUCAUGAAACAAUAUACAAAAUAGAGUUCAGGCAAGGAAGGUGCAAUGUCGGGCCCAUUAAUUAGAGUUGGGAUUCAAAAUCUGAAGUGUUAUAUUUUUUCUGUUUUGACUACAUAUAAAAUCUAUUACUUAACAUGUAUAAACCAUAUAUCACCAUAUUAUGAUAUUAGUAAGUGUUUUGGCCUAUUUAGCUUAAUGUUUUUUGUUUUGGCUUCUAACUAGUGCUGCUUGUCGAAACUAGAAGCUAAUUGACCUAAACCGUCCCAGGCCAAGCCGAGUGAAGAGUGCACGCGGCCUAUAGCCCCAAAGGUUGAAGUAGUGCUGAUGUAUCGUUGCCUCACCACAGCUGACAGCUGGUUCGCCAUCGCUGCCUCGAACCUAGAGUUUGGAUUUUGAAAUGGGAACAUGGAGGAGAGAAACCGUGAAACGCCAAGCAACAGGAGCAUGGUUUUUAAAGCGGUAAGGCGGUCCAAGGCGUUGGACCACCGCCUGGACGCCUAGCAAGGCGCCUAGGCGUUAGACCACCGCCCGGACGCCUAGGCGUCGCCUAUGCGACGCCUAGGCGACGCCUUAAGAACAGAGAACAGGAGUCAUGUGCUUGACUAGAGUCAAACGACGAGAUAGGGGGAAUUGGAGGGAAAUUGAGCCACUGGGCCUUGUUGAGCUGAUGAGAAUAGAACGAAGAGUACCAGGAGGCUAUUGUUUUGGGCUCAACUCAUGAAUACCCCCUAUCAUUUUAACUCUAUUUUUAAUUUUUACAAUACAUAUUAUAUGUACGGUUUUUUUUGACAAAAAAUAAUGGGUAUUCAGUUGAGUACCCUUGAACUUGGGAAGGUGUAUGGAGAUUUGGCAAUAACGUAGGAUCUGAUAAGGAAGAAUCUACUUGACAAGGUCAAAGUCAUUGAUCGGAUUAAACACACCUUGAUUGCAUGAGCCGAUGCCUGUAAAGUGCUACAUCCUACUAUUUUGAAGAAGUUGAAGUCCCAUUUGAAGGCAUUGGUGGAGCAUUUAGAGUGAGUUAACACUAGUUGCUUUGGAGGUGAAGCCUAUUGACUCAGUUGAAGAGGCACACGCCACACACAUCCAUUAGUGGCAACUUGGUGUGGCUUGCUUGAGUUGAUAGCUGAAUUGAAGCGUCUCUAGGAUUGGCUUGCUGGCCUGGAGAUGCGACACCAAAAAUCUCCUAGUCGUGGUUUAUGAGGUGACAAGGCGUGCCUAGGGUGUUGGGUGUUGGGGUCACCACAACAUGUGUGCGCAUGGUGUCCGCCAUACGAGAUUAGGUGUCGAUUAGGCGUGGAAAGGUGUUGGCCGAGUGCCUAGAGGCCUGCGGUGUACGCCGGAGCAACAAAUCGAAAGGAAGGCGGAAUUGGGCGAGGAAUCAAGCAGACGCGAUGAAAACUGGUGGGAAUUGACCGCAGGCGAUGAAAACCUAUGAGAAUUGUCCACGACAUAGAAAUUGUGCGUGGUAUUGGCUGCGUAUAAAGCAUAUCAAGCGGCAAAUUAAGUGCACACAUGCAUCUGUCGCGACCAGGCCUCUUCACGGUGAGAUGGAUUGGAAAGAGAGGGUGGGGGACCUGAAGCUCUCGGCGGCGGCGCCCCCACCAGUUCUAUGGCUGCUGGGCUGCUAUUCUGCACUGCCUAGCUAUGAUUUGCCUCUCCGCUGGCUGUCAGCUCCUCCCGCUCGACUCUGCCUGACUACUCUUGAUUGAGUCAUUGUCAGCCAUCAGGUUUCUCUGCUCCUUGUCCGCUCCCUGCCUCCUUCCCUGCUCUCCUCCCCAACUUGCCCUCUGCUGCCUUUUCUCUCUGCUAGUUGCUAUGCUGCUUAUUUUAUUGCUUUGCUCUAUCUCUGCUCAUGGAUUUGUCAGUUUUCCCUCCCUUUAUUGGAUGCUCUGAUGUGUAUUGCUCUCUGCUCUGUCUGCACUGUCAUCACCGUGAGCGUUCGUGGGGACAGGGAUGGGAGAAAAAUCUUCCCCGUGAGGGUUCACGGGGACAGGGACGGAGAAUCUUUCUCCCCGCAAAGGUGGGGACCCAUUCCCUGAUGGGGAAUUUCCCGCUGUCAUCUCCACAGCAUGUGUGUAUGGCAUCACCUAGUCGAUGUGAUGGGGGGGGCACACCUCGCCUCAACACCUAAAAAACCAUGCUCAUAGCAACAGAAUUGGACAUUCAACAUGUGAACAGAAGGCACAGGCUGCUAGUGAGAAAAAACGUUAAUGAACAUGUAAGGUAUAUACUUCAAGAAUGUUGUAACCUAUGAUGACAAUUUCAAGCGAGAUUCUAGUAGCAUUGAUAGGAUGGUGAAGCAUGCCGACGAGGGGCUAAGUUGGACUUAUCAACUAGGAAGAGAAGUGCCAAGAAGCUGAAACACUUGAUGUUGUCAGCAUGUUGUCUUUAUGUCAAUUGUUCCC
This is a long non-coding RNA of Zea mays, 5534 nucleotides long. RefSeq lists it as uncharacterized. The transcript has 3 exons. Lineage: Eukaryota; Viridiplantae; Streptophyta; Magnoliopsida; Poales; Poaceae. The record is from RefSeq and is a predicted model, not a curated record.